UACAGAGGUGGCAAGCGUUGUUCGGAAUUACUGGGCGUAAAGGGCGCGUAGGCGGUCUUGCAAGUCCCGUGUGAAAUCCCUCGGCUCAACUGAGGAAUUGCACGGGAAACUGCUUGGCUUGAGAUCGGGAGAGGGAAGCGGAAUUCCGGGUGUAGCGGUGAAAUGCGUAGAUAUCCGGAGGAACACCGGUGGCGAAGGCGGCUCACUGGGCCGGUCCUGACGCUGAGACGCGAAGGCGUGGGGAGCGAACGGG
RNAcentral lists this ribosomal RNA (253 nucleotides) under uncultured bacterium. Its description in RNAcentral is "partial 16S ribosomal RNA". It matches the Rfam family "Bacterial small subunit ribosomal RNA", at positions 524 to 776 of the family's 1533-position model. The record is from RNAcentral.